This 450-nucleotide ribosomal RNA is filed under the name uncultured bacterium. RNAcentral describes it as "bacterial SSU rRNA". It matches the Rfam family "Bacterial small subunit ribosomal RNA", at positions 354 to 796 of the family's 1533-position model. The record is from RNAcentral.
GUAGGGAAUAUUGCGCAAUGGACGAAAGUCUGACGCAGCAACGCCGCGUGGGUGAUGACGCUUCUUGGAGUGUAAAACCCUGUCAGUGGGGACGAAACGCAUGAUAAGUAACUGUUUCAUGCCUGACGGUACCCACAGAGGAAGUCCCGGCUAACUCCGUGCCAGCAGCCGCGGUAAUACGGGGGGGACAAGCGUUGUUCGGAUUUACUGGGCGUAAAGGGCGCGUAGGCGGGUCUUCAAGUUGGAUGUGAAAACCGGCGGCUCAACCACCGGCCUGCAUUCAAAACUGUUGAUCUUGAGUCGGGAAGAGGAAAGCGGAAUUCCAGGUGUAGCGGUGAAAUGCGUAGAUAUCUGGAAGAACACCGGUAGCGAAGGCGGCUUUCUGGUCCCACACUGACGCUAAAGCGCGAAGGCUUGGGUAGCAAACAGGAUUAGAAACCCGGGUAGUCC